GGUGGUAUAGUUCAAGUGGUAGAGCGCUUGCCUAGCAAGUAUAAGGUCCUGGGUUCAAACCUCAGUACUGCAA
This 73-nucleotide transfer RNA is filed under the name Dipodomys ordii (Ord's kangaroo rat). It matches the Rfam family "tRNA". Rfam says of the family: Transfer RNA (tRNA) molecules are approximately 80 nucleotides in length. Their secondary structure includes four short double-helical elements and three loops (D, anti-codon, and T loops). The record is from Rfam by way of RNAcentral. Lineage: Eukaryota; Metazoa; Chordata; Mammalia; Rodentia; Heteromyidae.